This 71-nucleotide transfer RNA is filed under the name Microcaldota archaeon. Its description in RNAcentral is "Candidatus Micrarchaeota archaeon (hot springs metagenome) tRNA-His". It matches the Rfam family "tRNA". Rfam says of the family: Transfer RNA (tRNA) molecules are approximately 80 nucleotides in length. Their secondary structure includes four short double-helical elements and three loops (D, anti-codon, and T loops). Further hydrogen bonds mediate the characteristic L-shaped molecular structure. tRNAs have two regions of fundamental functional importance: the anti-codon, which is responsible for specific mRNA codon recognition, and the 3' end, to which the tRNAs corresponding amino acid is attached (by aminoacyl-tRNA synthetases). tRNAs cope with the degeneracy of the genetic code in two manners: having more than one tRNA (with a specific anti-codon) for a particular amino acid; and 'wobble' base-pairing, i.e. permitting non-standard base-pairing at the 3rd anti-codon position. The record is from RNAcentral. Lineage: Archaea; Nanobdellati; Microcaldota.
GCCGCGGUGGUGUAGUGGCAGCACGGAAGGCUGUGGACCUUCAGGCGUGGGUUCGAUUCCCGCCUGCGGCC